UCGGGGGUUCGGGUACUGACGCGUCAUUAUGAGAGAACGCAGAGAGAACAUCUUUGCAUGUGUUAGUACACACGCAAUAUCCCAGCAAACAAUGUACUAUGGUCCGAACGACCGUUUUUGUUGGCCAAAAUUAAUAACUCCCGACGGAACAAGAUUUUUUUAUUUAGUUUUUUGUAUUGGAUAUAUAUAAUCAAAAGGAAGUGGCUUUAAGAAAAAAAAAUGGGUGUGGCGCCGCCCUUUUUUUAAUAAUGCAUAUUUAAAUGAUUAGUUAUAGUGAAAAAAAAAAGUAUUAAGCAUAAUUUAUUUAAGAAAGCGGCGUUGCACGCUUAAAAAAAUUUCGAUUUAAAUAAAAAUAACAUUGCUUAAAGGUUUCCGUAAAUUAUUACUGAGAUCCUUGUCUAGAAGCUAGGUUAACGCCUCGUUAGGUGAGAUAUGUGCCGGCUUUCCGACUGGGUCCUGUACAGCCUUAUGAACUUAGUUAGCAUUCUUUGGGCAUAAAGAUAAAAGUGUUGAAAUAAAGGCUUGUGGCCAACCCACAUAUUUUCGUACAAACAUUGAAUUUGACCGGCAUUUGUUCCGUUAUGUUGCCAAACGAUAACAAAUUUUCUUGCUGGUAUCCUCAAAAGCUUUAUUCAUUUCAUAUAAUAUGUCGCCUUAAGAGCCGUUUUUAAAUAAUUGAUAAUUUUACCCUUAUCUGAAUUCCAUACGCAAAUUUCAAUAAUUGUGGUGAAAAGUGGCAUUUCUUACUAUAUACAUAUCAACAAGAAUUUAUUAAUCUACGACACACAAAAGGUUUCAGGGUGGGACUAGGUAGGACUCACUUUGUACACCUUUUCAAAAAUUAGUUUUCAUUACAAGUUGGAACAUGUUGAAGGCCUCAAUUACGAAGACUACUACUAGAUACAGUUAAAAACUCAAGACACGUAAUAAGAACCCGACUGAUUAAGAUUCAUUAAACAAAUGUAAUCAGGUCUUGGCGUUUUUCAAUUUUGGAGAGAUCUAAAAUGGUUAUUAAUAUGGCGUUUUUUUACUUCACGUGCUUUACGAUAAUUACAGUUGGGUUGCUCAGCUGAUUUUGCGAAUGUGGCGCCAUCUAUGGAAAUUUCUGCGUAUCCCUGCAGUACGAUGACAUCGAUGACUCAGCUGCUGACACGUCGAUGAACGCAUCACUACCCGCGAUGACAUAGUUGAUGACCGGCCAUACGCUGAGCUGUUUACUUUAACAUGGAGAUGACCUAGGGCAUAAUCGAUGACAUUGUCAUCGAGCAUUGCCGAAAAAUCAUGCACUUAAUAAGUGAUGAUUUUUCACGAAAAAUCAUGCAUUUAAUAUAAAAAAGUAAUACAUUCAAUUGUUUUUUUUUCAAUAAGUUUUAUUUUUUAAAAAUUAUUAUUAAUUAUUGUUUAAGCAUGCCAGAGCUUUGUAUUUUUUGUCCCUUGCGCCCUUUUGAAAGUAGCUAUUCUUAAUAUUGUGAAUAGCCUUCCUAAUCACUUUAUCUGCUGGGUAUUUUUAUCUUCACCGCCGCUGAAAUAAUAUGGAUAUGUUAAUUAAUUAAUUAUAUUUUUUCUUUUUACAUUUUUUUUUAAACCUACAUUAUAUUUCUUUAUUCUUCUUUUAUUCCCGAGCAUAAGAGAAGAAUAAAGAAAUAUAAUGUGAAUGCCGCGAAACAUUAAUAUAAUUUGAACACAGUUUUUUUUACUACUAAUUUUAAAAGAUUACAAUCAGCACA
Long non-coding RNA from Drosophila pseudoobscura, 1727 nucleotides. RefSeq lists it as uncharacterized. The transcript is spliced from 2 exons. NCBI's taxonomy places the organism in Eukaryota, Metazoa, Arthropoda, Insecta, Diptera, Drosophilidae. The record is from RefSeq and is a predicted model, not a curated record.